This 460-nucleotide ribosomal RNA is filed under the name uncultured bacterium. RNAcentral's name for it is "partial 16S ribosomal RNA". It matches the Rfam family "Bacterial small subunit ribosomal RNA", at positions 338 to 795 of the family's 1533-position model. The record is from RNAcentral.
UCUACGGGAGGCAGCAGUGAGGAAUAUUGGUCAAUGGACGCAAGUCUGAACCAGCCAUGCCGCGUGCAGGAAGACGGCUCUAUGAGUUGUAAACUGCUUUUGUACGAGGGUAAACGCGGAUACGCGUAUCUGUCUGAAAGUAUCGUACGAAUAAGGAUCGGCUAACUCCGUGCCAGCAGCCGCGGUAAUACGGAGGAUUCAAGCGUUAUCCGGAUUUAUUGGGUUUAAAGGGUGCGUAGGCGGUCGGAUAAGUUAGAGGCGAAAUCCCGAGGCUCAACUUCGGAAUUGCCUCUGAUACUGUUCGGCUAGAGAGUAGUUGCGGUAGGCGGAAUGUAUGGUGUAGCGGUGAAAUGCUUAGAGAUCAUACAGAACACCGAUUGCGAAGGCAGCUUACCAAGCUACGUCUGACGUUGAGGCACGAAAGCGUGGGGAGCAAACAGGAUUAUAUACCCGAGUAGUC